CUUCGUUGAACUCAACACGUUUGACAGCAGUAGGAAAUUCCCACUUGUACAACUGCUUUCCUGUUUUAACAUCCCAAAGACGCAUGGUAUUGUCAGCGGCUCCACUAACCAUUAAAGUGCUACUUUCUGUUUCAGUUAGUAACCAUUGGAAAAGGAACAGAUGAUCUAGUUGGAUUUGAGGCAUCAAGAAGAAGGAAAAGGAUUUAAAAGAAGUUUAAAUGCUUUCCACGAGGAAGUGAAGUGAGGUAAACGUAGCAUUAAUAUAAGUAAAGGAGAUGCACCAUGCAUAUUUAACUUUAAGUACUACGCCAACUCAGAAUCGUGGAUCACGAGUAUAACCAUCUGCAAUCGGACGACUAAUAAAAAAAAUACAUUUAUUAGAGUCAUGAUAUGUUUCAUUAUUCGUGUUUCCUUAUACUUCCAUAAUCCGUAUACCUUUAGAUGUCUUAAUCCAACAUACAUCACCACCAAUUUUCACGUACUAUUAAUAUCACAAGUCCAAAUUGCACCAGUAUGACCCUCAUAUGUACCUAGGCGUUCACCAUUGUGUGAAAACCAGACAUUAAUCACUUUAUCCUUGGCACAUGAGAAUAAUAAAUCACCCUACACACAAAAAUUAGUAAAUUUUCCACAUAUAAUGGACGGUUAUUAAACCUACAUCGUGAUUAUAUUUUAUUUGAGUCAAAGGACGCUCAUGACCCUGUAAAAUGAUAGGCCUCAUCUUUUGAACAGGAAAGUGCUGGUAGAGGGUUUGAGCGAAAAGUCUUUAGUUGUAAUAUUUUGAUUCUAAUUAGCGUAACUUAAGGAUGGUAUUAAAAAUAAGGAGGCUUAACGACACUCUUAAAUGAACUGGCUUCAUUUCUGAGACACUUGCGUUAGACUAGUUAGACCCAAAGGUCGCAC
This is a non-coding RNA of Schizosaccharomyces pombe (fission yeast), 903 nucleotides long. The record is from the annotation of a GenBank genome assembly. NCBI's taxonomy places the organism in Eukaryota, Fungi, Ascomycota, Schizosaccharomycetes, Schizosaccharomycetales, Schizosaccharomycetaceae.